AACAGGGAUUGCUCUAGUAACGGCGAGUGAAGCAGCAAUAGCUCAAAUUUGAAAUCUGGCGUCUUCGACGUCCGAGUUGUAAUUUGUAGAGGAUGCUUCUGAGUAACCACCGACCUAAGUUCCUUGGAACAGGACGUCAUAGAGGGUGAGAAUCCCGUAUGCGGUCGGAAAGGUGCUCUAUACGUAGCUCCUUCGACGAGUCGAGUUGUUUGGGAAUGCAGCUCUAAAUGGGAGGUAAAUUUCUUCUAAAGCUAAAUAUUGGCCAGAGACCGAUAGCGCACAAGUAGAGUGAUCGAAAGAUGAAAAGCACUUUGGAAAGAGAGUUAAAAAGCACGUGAAAUUGUUAAAAGGGAAGGGAUUGCAACCAGACUUGCUCGCGGUGUUCCGCCGGUCUUCUGACCGGUCUACUCGCCGCGUUGCAGGCCAGCAUCGUCUGGUGCCGCUGGAUAAGACUUGAGGAAUGUAGCUCCCUCGGGAGUGUUAUAGCCUCUUGUGAUGCAGCGAGCGCCGGGCGAGGUCCGCGCUUCGGCUAGGAUGCUGGCGUAAUGGUCGUAAUCCGCCCG
This 563-nucleotide ribosomal RNA is filed under the name Cladosporium cf. tenuissimum. RNAcentral describes it as "partial large subunit ribosomal RNA". It matches the Rfam family "Eukaryotic large subunit ribosomal RNA", at positions 67 to 651 of the family's 3401-position model. Lineage: Eukaryota; Fungi; Ascomycota; Dothideomycetes; Cladosporiales; Cladosporiaceae. The record is from RNAcentral.